AUGUUUAAGAGCAUUUCGUACCUUGCAUUCAGCUUGCUGUUGCUAAUACAGGUCUGCAAAAUGUGCCUAAAAUGUACUUUAUGGUAAAUAAAAACUUCUACUUUUUGUCUCAGCUAACUUCAAGCUUCUUGGUCUACUUCGGAAUCGGAGGAAGAUAAUUCCAUUACACAUGGCACCUCAACAAAAAUGCCGACAGUAGGGGAAAGUGCUAUUUCAGAAGGUCGCAAGAGGCUCGAAGCGAUUGCUUUUAAAGGUUAUAUUAAUUAUUUAAACUAUGGUUUGCAACGAACCAAUCAAAUAGCGAAAAAAAACGCUCGCUGAUCCUUCUAUGUACAGUAUCGACAGUCAAGCUAUGGAAAAUGAAAGAGAUAUACUUGUAAAAUAUGUCAAAGACUCAGACGAGGCGUUAAAUGCUGUUCUUCCCACUGGUAAAAGUGAGAAGAACAAUCGAUUUUUCUUCGGCAUGGGUAAAGAUUAUGUGCUUGAACAAUUCAAUCGAACACGUACCGCUUAUGUGCCUAUAGAAAAGCUUACACCAGAACAAAGGGUAUCGUGGGACACUUUAAAGAAACAUGGAGUAUUAGAAUAUGCCGAAGAAAAGGAGAAAAGGUCGAAGAACCUCGCUCUUUACAUAGUAGAUGAAUUUGAGAAAUAUAUGAAAGCCCUGCCAGCGGCCGAAAAAGAGCAAGAGAAGGAAUUUUCAGAAGUUUGGGAUAUGUACUCAAAGAAUGAACUUGGAUUAGACAAGCUUGAAUUUGGAAAAAAAUUGUUUAUGCGACUAUUCGAUUACGAAUCAGAAAAGUAGAAAGAAAUAAAGAUUUUAAUAAUGUUAUCUUUUGAACUGUAACAAGUAAAUACUGAACUGUGCAUGUGAGCAUAUUCAUAUGUAUUCGUAUAAAUAGAAAUUUGACCUAAAAAUAUUUGUUUUAU
Molecule: RNA transcript, 930 nt
Organism: Bactrocera dorsalis (oriental fruit fly)
Lineage: Eukaryota; Metazoa; Arthropoda; Insecta; Diptera; Tephritidae
Exons: 1
Source: RefSeq, a predicted model, not a curated record